This 137-nucleotide unclassified non-coding RNA is filed under the name soil metagenome. RNAcentral's name for it is "partial internal transcribed spacer 1". The record is from RNAcentral.
CCUAGAGUUGUAGGCUUUGCCUGCUAUCUCUUACCCAUGUCUUUUGAGUACUUACGUUUCCUCGGCGGGUCCGCCCGCCGAUUGGACAAUUUAAACCAUUGCAGUUGCAAUCAGCGUCUGAAAAACUUUAAUAGUUA